This 395-nucleotide ribosomal RNA is filed under the name uncultured bacterium. Its description in RNAcentral is "partial 16S ribosomal RNA". It matches the Rfam family "Bacterial small subunit ribosomal RNA", at positions 523 to 918 of the family's 1533-position model. The record is from RNAcentral.
AUACGUAGGGUGCAAGCGUUAAUCGGAAUUACUGGGCGUAAAGCGUGCGCAGGCGGUUUUGUAAGACAGUGGUGAAAUCCCCGGGCUCAACCUGGGGAGUGUCAUUGUGACUGCAAGGGUGGGGAGCGGGCGAGGGGGAUGGAAUUUCGUGCGUAGCAGUGUAAUGCGUAGCAAUGGGGAGGAACACCGAUGGCGAAGGCAAUCCCCUGGGCCUGCACUGACGCUCAUGCACGAAAGCGUGGGGAGCAAACAGGAUUAGAUACCCUGGUAGUCCACGCCCUAAACGAUGUCAACUGGUUGUUGGGGAUUUAUUUUCUCAGUAACGAAGCUAACGCGUGAAGUUGACCGCCUGGGGAGUACAGCCGCAAGGUUAAAACUCAAAUGAAUUGACGGGG